Molecule: long non-coding RNA, 869 nt
Filed under: Homo sapiens (human)
Lineage: Eukaryota; Metazoa; Chordata; Mammalia; Primates; Hominidae
Description: HSALNT0348397
Source: RNAcentral
CUGAGCAUUUCUUAAGAAGAAUACCUAGAAACAUCUGGGGUCCUUCUAUUUCAUUGUCUUACAAUUAUUAGGCUUUGUGUAAACGCUCGCAGAUUGAAUGACGAAAUAAAAGAAGAAACUACAGCACAGUCAAUUUUCUCCAUGACAGCCUGAGAGAUGUAGCUGGUGCUGCCACUUUUCCUUCAUUUUUCCCUGCCUUGAAUAUGGUGGUGAUGCCUGGAGCUUCAGCAGCCAUCUUAUGGCCAUGAAAUGGCAAGCAUGAGAAUGAAAGAAAAUGCACUCAUCAUGAAAGGAGGAAGAGCAGAAGAAAUCUGGGUCACUGGUGAUAUCAAUGGAUAGCUGAAGCAGUGUGGGCUGCUCUGGAUGGAAAAUGCCCUGGGUUCUCCGAGACUUAACACCCCGCCUUGUGAACGCGAGCAAGAUUAUUCUCUCUGAGCAGCUCUUUUCACAUGUGAUAAGCUUGGCAAGUUGCCCUGGAUUGAAUUCUCACCCACUGUCUUCACCCAACCCAGCAGAGAAGAAGGCUUGUGACUGUGUAAGCUGUCAAGAGGCAAGAUAAGGCAUUUGCAAUUGGCAGUGUUUCAAAGGACUCCAGAUUUCUCCAAAGAACCUAGAUUUCCCAGGUACUGAACAUGUGCAAAAUAGAAACAAACAUUCAAGAUGAGUGAGUGAUGAGUUCUGCCUGUGGUCAGAAGAAAACAACACUCCCAACUCUGCAACCUGAUCACUUCCCUACUUAGUCCUGUUUGUGGAGCCGCCUUAUUAACGACAUUAGAACAAAGAUAUGAAGGUGAUGUACAAUCAUUACUAGUUUUUAACCAAAGAUUUUGGUCACAAUAAGGACCAAUAGCUGUUUCUUUGGACCUCUG